CUCAAGCUGCAUCCCUCCCGUUCUGUUGCACUUAAGUCCAGAUUAGCUCUGACCAUCCCUGCACGCACGCGGAGAGCGACACAACACCGCGGUGCCUAAGACCAUAGAAACUGCCACAGAGGUGGGGGCAGAGAUCGUCUUCAAGGUUGCUGUCAUCUGGAAUUUUAUGUCCUUCAUUUUCUUUCACUCUGUAUGCCUGUCACAUCGGCUUAACUCCCUUGGAGACACAGACCUUCUUUCUUUAUACGGACUUUGAGUUCCUAAUGCAGUGGAGUCCUACUUCUCAGCUGAAUCCUAUGUGUCAAUUUGAGAGAUCAAAACGCUCAUACACAAUGGAGCUGCAAGGAGACAAAUGAAGAUGGGUUUUCCAGACUCUUCCAGCCUGGUUUUCUGUUGAGUAGCAGUGGGGCAUCAACAAAUUUGGCUACAAUACAGAGACCAGAGAAGACCUCGUUUGCCAUAAAGCUUGCCUGAUUUCUUCCAGCCGUAUUAGCUGAUUAAAAAAAGAAAGGACUUCUUACAGUCCUGGGCAGUACUCUGCAAGUCAUCUUGAAGAUCAGAAAGGCUGUGGAGCUUUCUGGGAAGAAUCUUUCUUUUGUUUUUAUUUCUGCACUCCAAGCCAUGUAAUUAAUACUGCACAAGCACAGAUACGUGUAACUCUUACAAGUGACUAUUUAUCAGAAUUGAUGCCAAAAAUGCAACCUAUUGUGAUUUGUGUUUUUAAGCUGCAUAGCAGAGACUGAUCAGCAUUGCAUCAGCAGUCUAGAGGCAAACUCCUGUGCUUAUACAGGCAAAUUACAGGUCUGGAUGAACACCAAGAGCAAGCUCUUCAUUCCUUCAGCAUUUUCUGUACUGCCAGGUCUGGUUCUAUAAAAUAUGACCUUCAAAUGGAAGAGGGUCCUAAUCCUAAUUCUGAGUUACAUGUGCCUAAUUUCAAAGCUUUAUGCUUGGGCACUAGCCACAGUGAGACAGAUACUGCGUGUUGCUCACUCUUCCUCCUUUUCACACACUUUUCUUGCCAAGGUGCAGUUGUAGAAAACAGCUUUAGAAAGCAGUAGUUUGAGAUACUGUAUCCCUGUUUCCCCCAGUAAAGCAU
Long non-coding RNA from Falco peregrinus (peregrine falcon), 1096 nucleotides. RefSeq lists it as uncharacterized. The record is from RefSeq and is a predicted model, not a curated record. The transcript is spliced from 4 exons. Lineage: Eukaryota; Metazoa; Chordata; Aves; Falconiformes; Falconidae.